CCUACAGGGGGGCAGCAGUGGGGGAUAUUGCACAAUGGGGGAAACCCUGAUGCAGCGACGCCGCGUGAGUGAAGAAGUAUUUCGGUAUGUAAAGCUCUAUCAGCAGGGAAGAAAAUGACAGUACCUGACCAAGAAGCGCCGGCUAACUACGUGCCAGCAGCCGCGGUAAUACGGAGGGGGCACGCGGUAUCCGGAUUUACUGGGGGUAAAGGGAGCGUCGGCGGUUAUGUAAGUCUGGGGGGAAAGCCCGGGGCCCAACCCCGGGACUGCUGUUGAAACUGUGUAACUGGAGUACAGGAGGAGCAGGCGGAAUGCGUGGUGUAGCGGUGAAAUGCGUAGAUAUCAGGCGGAACACCGGCGGCGAAGGCAGCCUGCUGGACUGAAACUGACGUUGAGGCUCGAAAGCGUGGGGAGCAAACAGGAUUAGAUACCCGUGUAGUC
Molecule: ribosomal RNA, 441 nt
Filed under: uncultured bacterium
Lineage: Bacteria
Description: partial 16S ribosomal RNA
Rfam family: Bacterial small subunit ribosomal RNA
Source: RNAcentral